ACACCUAGGGAAGCGCAGGGCUGGGAGUGUGAGACGUGCAGACCUUGAAUAUCUAGGGCUUGCUCAGGACAGGGCCGAGCGAGCGCCGCGACUACUUGUCCCAGAAAUCCUCGCGCUCGAGGUCUGCUUCCGGUUGGUCGUUCCUGACUUCCCGGCAGCGGGUGGCUUCCCAGACCCGGACGGAAACUCCGAGGCAACUCCUCACUUGUCUGACUUCUUUGCGGUGCGACCGAUUUCCGCAUAUGCGCAGUGGGUGUCUGCAGUGCCCACAGGUCGUCUAAGUGGCAGCGCGGUCGCUCCGAGUGUGUUGUAUUUGAUAGGGACAGAUGGUGGAGACAGGUGGAUCCCAGGUUGCACUAGGAAGUGUGGAAGGGGACCCGCGAGCCCGAGGAUGCAACCAAGGGAAGAUGGACAUCUCAAGAGGAAAAGUUUGGAGAUUCAGUUGGGAAACAGGUGUAUGGAGAUCUGCUACACUGAUUGAGAGGAGGCCUGAGUUCAGUUCCCAGCACCCACAGUGGGUAGCUCACAGCUGCCCGGAACUCCUGUCCUGGAAGAACUGACGCCCUCUGGUAGUCCCUGCAGGCAACUGCAUGCCUAUGCACCGACCUCGAAACACGGAGUUAAAAAAUAAAUCUCAACUUCACAUUUAAAAA
Molecule: long non-coding RNA, 653 nt
Organism: Grammomys surdaster
Lineage: Eukaryota; Metazoa; Chordata; Mammalia; Rodentia; Muridae
Exons: 2
Source: RefSeq, a predicted model, not a curated record